Molecule: ribosomal RNA, 253 nt
Filed under: uncultured bacterium
Lineage: Bacteria
Description: partial 16S ribosomal RNA
Rfam family: Bacterial small subunit ribosomal RNA
Source: RNAcentral
UACGUAGGUGGCGAGCGUUGUCCGGAUUUACUGGGUGUAAAGGGAGCGUAGGCGGACUUUUAAGUGAGAUGUGAAAUACUCGGGCUCAACUUGAGUGCUGCAUUUCAAACUGGAAGUCUAGAGUGCAGGAGAGGAGAAUGGAAUUCCUAGUGUAGCGGUGAAAUGCGUAGAGAUUAGGAAGAACACCAGUGGCGAAGGCGAUUCUCUGGACUGUAACUGACGCUGAGGCUCGAAAGCGCGGGGAGCAAACAGG